UGGCUCAGAUGGUAAAGAAUCUGCCUCCAAAGCAGAAGACCUGGGUUCAAUUCCUGG
RNAcentral lists this transfer RNA (57 nucleotides) under Ovis aries (sheep). It matches the Rfam family "tRNA", at positions 8 to 63 of the family's 71-position model. Rfam says of the family: Transfer RNA (tRNA) molecules are approximately 80 nucleotides in length. Their secondary structure includes four short double-helical elements and three loops (D, anti-codon, and T loops). Further hydrogen bonds mediate the characteristic L-shaped molecular structure. tRNAs have two regions of fundamental functional importance: the anti-codon, which is responsible for specific mRNA codon recognition, and the 3' end, to which the tRNAs corresponding amino acid is attached (by aminoacyl-tRNA synthetases). tRNAs cope with the degeneracy of the genetic code in two manners: having more than one tRNA (with a specific anti-codon) for a particular amino acid; and 'wobble' base-pairing, i.e. permitting non-standard base-pairing at the 3rd anti-codon position. Lineage: Eukaryota; Metazoa; Chordata; Mammalia; Artiodactyla; Bovidae. The record is from Rfam by way of RNAcentral.